This 1044-nucleotide long non-coding RNA is filed under the name Salvator merianae (Argentine black and white tegu). Its description in RNAcentral is "lncRNA (ENSSMRG00000016570.1)". Lineage: Eukaryota; Metazoa; Chordata; Lepidosauria; Squamata; Teiidae. The record is from RNAcentral.
UUCGAAAACGCUUUGCUGCUCUUCUGGAAUUUCCCCUCCCUACAGAAAAGUUAUUUCUCCCUUCUGCGGUGUCGUUUUCACCAGGUGACCUCUGUCGCAGCCUCAAGGGGGCCGCGAACCAGCAGCCCCCACUGCCGGCGUCCUGCUUUCGUGGGAAGCUACCGACCGGCGCCUUGGGGCGGCCCAUUCUGGGGGGAGGAAGAGCAGGUCCCCUCCCUGCCCUGCAACGCCAAAGAGGAGCCCAGCUCCUGCAAUUCCGUUAGCGGCGCCGCGGCUGUUGGGCACCUCCGAGGCGCGUCGGCGUCCUGGUUGGCUGCAUGGGCACCUCCAGGCGUGGAGCCCGCUGCGCGCUUUCCUUGGCGGGGAGAAAGAGGCGGUUUGCUGCUUUCCAGGCAGUUCGCUCUGCCACUGAGCCGUGGCCUUGGGCACAGGGGAACACCGAAACCCUGCCAGCCUCGCGUUUUCCUCCUGCCGCCACGGACCCUCCUUUUCUCUGCUGAGCUCCCGGCCAGCCCCGCUGAACCUGGGUCGCCCGGCCCCGCUCUGAAUUUCGCCUUCCCUGGGGGCAGGGGGGCUGUGGGUUUGGCUGGACGCCCAGCGAAGGACUUGGCUGCUCUCCGUGGGCACGGCCCGGAUCCCCAGGCCCCCGGCAGCAGCUGCCCCGCGGAGGACUUCUGUUACAAGGUGGCCAGACGGGGCUUGGGAAGGGGGAGGCAGCAACGUUGUCCAGCGAGCGAGGGGGACGAGGUGCUCUGGCGCGAGCAGCCGGCGGCCAAAGGGCGCUCCGGCGGCGGCUCCUGGUCCACACACCCCCAAAGCUGGGGACGAUCCUGGGCGAAGGAGACCCCGCCGGCUCGCGGGAAAGCUAGUCCUCGUCGAUCCAGCCCGCGGGCACUUGGGUCGCAAGCUGCGCGAUGGGACGGGAUCCAUCUCGGAGCACAUGGAUCGGAUUCGGGUUCGAAAUCGUCCGCGCAACUCUUGAUGAUGCGUCUCACCCGGUUACUCGCGCAGAUUGGGGUCGGGCCGGGGAGGGGGGUCGCGUAA